This 876-nucleotide ribosomal RNA is filed under the name Penicillium sp. ORNL10. Its description in RNAcentral is "SSU rRNA". It matches the Rfam family "Eukaryotic small subunit ribosomal RNA", at positions 74 to 959 of the family's 1831-position model. The record is from RNAcentral. Lineage: Eukaryota; Fungi; Ascomycota; Eurotiomycetes; Eurotiales; Aspergillaceae.
UUAUACUGUGAACUGCGAAUGGCUCAUUAAAUCAGUUAUCGUUUAUUUGAUAGUACCUUACUACAUGGAUACCUGUGGUAAUUCUAGAGCUAAUACAUGCUAAAAACCCCGACUUCAGGAAGGGGUGUAUUUAUUAGAUAAAAAACCAACGCCCUUCGGGGCUCCUUGGUGAAUCAUAAUAACUUAACGAAUCGCAUGGCCUUGCGCCGGCGAUGGUUCAUUCAAAUUUCUGCCCUAUCAACUUUCGAUGGUAGGAUAGUGGCCUACCAUGGUGGCAACGGGUAACGGGGAAUUAGGGUUCGAUUCCGGAGAGGGAGCCUGAGAAACGGCUACCACAUCCAAGGAAGGCAGCAGGCGCGCAAAUUACCCAAUCCCGAUACGGGGAGGUAGUGACAAUAAAUACUGAUACGGGGCUCUUUUGGGUCUCGUAAUUGGAAUGAGAACAAUUUAAAUCCCUUAACGAGGAACAAUUGGAGGGCAAGUCUGGUGCCAGCAGCCGCGGUAAUUCCAGCUCCAAUAGCGUAUAUUAAAGUUGUUGCAGUUAAAAAGCUCGUAGUUGAACCUUGGGUCUGGCUGGCCGGUCCGCCUCACCGCGAGUACUGGUCCGGCUGGACCUUUCCUUCUGGGGAACCCCAUGGCCUUCACUGGCUGUGGGGGGAACCAGGACUUUUACUGUGAAAAAAUUAGAGUGUUCAAAGCAGGCCUUUGCUCGAAUACAUUAGCAUGGAAUAAUAGAAUAGGACGUGCGGUUCUAUUUUGUUGGUUUCUAGGACCGCCGUAAUGAUUAAUAGGGAUAGUCGGGGGGCGUCAGUAUUCAGCUGUCAGAGGUGAAAUUCUUGGAUUUGCUGAAGACUAACUACUGCGAAAGCAUUCGCC